This 77-nucleotide transfer RNA is filed under the name Planctomycetota bacterium. RNAcentral's name for it is "tRNA-Val". It matches the Rfam family "tRNA". From Rfam's summary of the family: Transfer RNA (tRNA) molecules are approximately 80 nucleotides in length. Their secondary structure includes four short double-helical elements and three loops (D, anti-codon, and T loops). The record is from RNAcentral. Lineage: Bacteria; Pseudomonadati; Planctomycetota.
GGGCGAUUAGCUCAGUUGGUUAGAGCGCUUGCUUCACACGCAAGAGGUCACUGGUUCGAGUCCAGUAUCGCCCACCA